CCUCUGCUGCACACCUGGAGAUAUGUUCCACUUUCUCCCAGAGCUCUCAUAAAAAGAUAAGUGAUCAGAGUAACACCAGGCUGGCUGUACUGAUGGCAACUGCCUUGGUCAUGCCAUGGGCAUGGCACAGCAGGCACAGGGUUGGCAGUUCCCUGUGUCUCAUAGGCACUGGUGAUCUAGCCAAUAAUGGGAGGUCAAAUGAAGUGCUGAACCGCUUUGCCAGCACUGGCCAAAGUAGAGCAGGAUGGUGAGCAGAGUCAGAGCCAGAGGCCCAGAGGAGAACAUUCCCAUGAAUGCCUCCUGUCCUCUGCUGCUCACCGGGAGACAUGUUCCACGAUAAACAAGGACACAGAUACAAAGAUAAGUGAUCAGAAAAACACCAGACUGGUUGUACUUCUGGGCAUCAGCUGCUGGCACCUUCCUUGGUCAUGGCAUGGGCAUGGCACAGCAGGAACAAUGUUGGCAGUUCAUUGUGUCAAACAGGCACUGGUGCCAUGGCCAGCACUGGGAGGUCUCAUGAAGUGCUAACCACGGUGCCCGCACAGGCCAGAGUAGAGCAGGAUUAUGAGCAGAGUCAGAGCCAGAGGCCCAGAGGAGAACAUGCCCAGACCAUGAGUGCCUCCUGUCCUCUGCUGCUCACCUGGAGACAUGUUCCACGUUCUCCAAGAGCUCUUAUAAAAAGAUAAGUGAUCAGAGUAACUCCAGGCUGGCUGUACUUCAGGGUAUCACGCUGACAACAGCCUCGUUGACACCAUGGGCAGGGCACAGCAGGCACAGUGUUGGCAGUUCCCUGUGUCACACACGCAUUGGAGACAUGAUGGCCGUAGGGACGUAAUAAAAAGAGCUUCUCGCUGCUGCGAGCCCAGGCCAGAAAAAACAGGAUGGUGAGCAGAGUCAGAGGUAAGAGGCCAGGAGAGAUGGCAUGGAAGGGAAUGUCUAAGACCUGGGAAGGGCGGCAGGCGUGUGUCUGAUGCUCCAGACUGUGUGUCCUGUUGCUUUGUCUUGGACAGCCAGAGGCCCAGAGGAGAACAUGCCCAGACCAUGAGUGCCUCCUGUCCUCUGCUGCUCACCUGGAGACGUCUUCCACUUUCUCCAAAAGCUCUCAUAAAAAGAUAAGUGAUCAGAGUAACACCAGGCUGGCUGUACUUCUGGGCAUCAGCUCAUGGCAACGGCCAUAGUUGUGUCAUGGGCAUGGCACAGUGGAACAAUGUUGGCAGUUCAUUGUGUCAAACAGGCAUUGGUGCCAUGGCCAGCCAAUAAUGGGAGGUCACAUGAAGUGCUGAACCCAUUUGCCUGCAAAGGCCAGAGGAGAGCAGGAUAGUGAGCAGAUUCAGAGGUAAGAGGGCAGAGAGAUGGCAUGGAAAAUGGGAUGGUCUGGGACCUGCCCAUGGAGGCAGAGAGAGCUGUGAUGCUAGAGAUUGUGUGUCCUCUGUCUUGGACGGCCAGAGGCCCAGAGGAGAACAUGCCCAGACCAUGAGUGCCUCCUGUCCUCUGCUGCUCACCUGGAGACAUGUUCCACCUUACACAAGGACACUGAUCCAAAGAUAAGUGAUCAGACAAAACCACCAGGCUGGCUGUACUGGGCAUCAGCUGCUGGUAACUGCCUUGGUGAUGCCAUGGGCAUGGCACAGCAGGCACGAUAUUUGCAGAUCUUUGUGUCAAACACGCACUGGUGUCAUGACCAAUACUGGGAGGUCAACAUGAAGUGCUGAACCGUUGUGCCAGCACAGGCCAGAGGAGAUCAGGAUGGUGAGCAGAGUCAGUUGUAAGAGUCCAGAGACAUGGCAUGGAAGGGAAGGUCUGGGACCUGGCCAAGGUGUAAGAGAUAGCUGUGAUGCUGCAGAUUGUGUGUCCACCUGCUUUGUCUUGGACAGCCAGAGGCCCAGAGGAGAACAUGCCCAGACCAUGAGUGCCUCCUGUCCUCUGCUGCACACCUGGAGAUAUGUUCCACUUUCUCCCAGAGCUCUCAUAAAAAGAUAAGUGAUCAGAGUAACACCAGGCUGGCUGUACUGAUGGCAACUGCCUUGGUCAUGCCAUGGGCAUGGCACAGCAGGCACAGGGUUGGCAGUUCCCUGUGUCUCAUAGGCACUGGUGAUCUAGCCAAUAUUGGGAGGUCACAUGAAGUGCUGAACCCAUUUGCCUGCAAAGGCCAGAGGAGAGCAGGAUGGUGAGCAGAGUCAGAGGUAAGAGGGCAGAGAGUUGGCAUGGAAAAUGGGAUGGUCUUGGAACUGGCCAAGGCGGAAGAGAUAGCUCUGAUGUGAUAGCUGUGAUGUUACUGACUGUGUGUCCUCUUGCUUUGUCUUGGACAGCCAGAGGCCCAGAGGAGAACAUUCCCAUGAAUGCCUCCUGUCCUCUGCUGCUCACCGGGAGACAUGUUCCACGAUAAACAAGGACACAGAUACAAAGAUAAGUGAUCAGAAAAACACCAGACUGGUUGUACUUCUGGGCAUCAGCUGCUGGCACCUUCCUUGGUCAUGGCAUGGGCAUGGCACAGCAGGAACAAUGUUGGCAGUUCAUUGUGUCAAACAGGCACUGGUGCCAUGGCCAGCACUGGGAGGUCUCAUGAAGUGCUAACCACGGUGCCCGCACAGGCCAGAGUAGAGCAGGAUUAUGAGCAGAGUCAGAGCCAGAGGCCCAGAGGAGAACAUGCCCAGACCAUGAGUGCCUCCUGUCCUCUGCUGCUCACCUGGAGACAUGUUCCACGUUCUCCAAGAGCUCUUAUAAAAAGAUAAGUGAUCAGAGUAACUCCAGGCUGGCUGUACUUCAGGGUAUCACGCUGACAACAGCCUCGUUGACACCAUGGGCAGGGCACAGCAGGCACAGUGUUGGCAGUUCCCUGUGUCACACACGCAUUGGAGACAUGAUGGCCGUAGGGACGUAAUAAAAAGAGCUUCUCGCUGCUGCGAGCCCAGGCCAGAAAAAACAGGAUGGUGAGCAGAGUCAGAGGUAAGAGGCCAGGAGAGAUGGCAUGGAAGGGAAUGUCUAAGACCUGGGAAGGGCGGCAGGCGUGUGUCUGAUGCUCCAGACUGUGUGUCCUGUUGCUUUGUCUUGGACAGCCAGAGGCCCAGAGGAGAACAUGCCCAGACCAUGAGUGCCUCCUGUCCUCUGCUGCUCACCUGGAGACGUCUUCCACUUUCUCCAAAAGCUCUCAUAAAAAGAUAAGUGAUCAGAGUAACACCAGGCUGGCUGUACUUCUGGGCAUCAGCUCAUGGCAACGGCCAUAGUUGUGUCAUGGGCAUGGCACAGUGGAACAAUGUUGGCAGUUCAUUGUGUCAAACAGGCAUUGGUGCCAUGGCCAGCCAAUAAUGGGAGGUCACAUGAAGUGCUGAACCCAUUUGCCUGCAAAGGCCAGAGGAGAGCAGGAUAGUGAGCAGAUUCAGAGGUAAGAGGGCAGAGAGAUGGCAUGGAAAAUGGGAUGGUCUGGGACCUGCCCAUGGAGGCAGAGAGAGCUGUGAUGCUAGAGAUUGUGUGUCCUCUGUCUUGGACGGCCAGAGGCCCAGAGGAGAACAUGCCCAGACCAUGAGUGCCUCCUGUCCUCUGCUGCUCACCUGGAGACAUGUUCCACCUUACACAAGGACACUGAUCCAAAGAUAAGUGAUCAGACAAAACCACCAGGCUGGCUGUACUGGGCAUCAGCUGCUGGCAACUGCCUUGGUGAUGCCAUGGGCAUGGCACAGCAGGCACGAUAUUUGCAGAUCUUUGUGUCAAACACGC
Long non-coding RNA from Gallus gallus (chicken), 3714 nucleotides. RefSeq lists it as uncharacterized. The transcript is spliced from 4 exons. Lineage: Eukaryota; Metazoa; Chordata; Aves; Galliformes; Phasianidae. The record is from RefSeq and is a predicted model, not a curated record.